This 65-nucleotide transfer RNA is filed under the name Diapteron cyanostictum (Gabon jewelfish). RNAcentral's name for it is "Aphyosemion cyanostictum (Gabon jewelfish) tRNA-Cys". Lineage: Eukaryota; Metazoa; Chordata; Actinopteri; Cyprinodontiformes; Nothobranchiidae. The record is from RNAcentral.
AGUCCUGAGGUGUUUACAUAUAUGUUUGCAAAACUUAAGUAGUAGGCUAACGUCUGCCGGGGCUU